GUCUCUGGGUUAGAAGAGGGGGGGCGCUGCGAUGGCUCAGAGUCGCAGCACUGAGUAUCGUAAGACCCGAGACGCACUAAAAAGGAUCAUUGCUAACAUCAGUGACGAUGACCACGGCGCCACCGCAACAGGAGUGCAGACAGAACUCGACAUGGAGACCGAAGCUAUGGAGACCCGCCCUCAGUGUCUUCAAUACGAUUCUCCGCCUGACGAACUGUGGUAUCCAGCACUGUCUGAUGCCCAUGCAGAAGAUGAGCGUGAUGAUGACGAAAUCUUCUCUGACGGCGAAGACGAAAUCUCCUCUGACGGCGAAGACGAAAUCUUCUCUGACGGCGAAGACGGAAGCUUCUCUGACGGUGGUGAAGAUGCCAAGGGCGACACGAACGCUUGCAGCGCUCUGGCAGACUGGGCUGUGCGUUACGGAAUUUCUCAUGCCGCGUUAUUAGCUCUACUCGCCAUUCUAAAUCUACUUGGAUUAGCAGUGCCCCUGGAUCCCCGAACUCUUCUCCGGACACCAGCGUCGUCUUCGAGACAAUUGGUAAAAAUGGGGUCAGGGGAGUAUUUUUACUUCGGCAUCGCACGUAGUGUUCUAAACGUUUUCAAGAAUGCCUCGCCUAGGCCAGCUGAAGUGCGUCUGAAGGUAAAUGUCGACGGACUGCCACUGUUUAAAAGCACGUCCACGGUGCUGUGGCCGAUACUGGGAAUGGUUUCAAAUGCUGGUCAGCACGUUUUUACCAUCGCAGUGUAUUGCGGCAAGGACAAACCGCCCCUCACGGAGUUUUUGAAGGACUUUAGCAAGGAAUGUCGUACACUUUUAGAAACAGGAAUUGCAUAUGCUGGCCAGACAGUUCCGUUCAAAAUUGCAUGCUUCAUUUGUGAUGCUCCUGCUCGCGCCUUUUUGAAAGGCAUUAAAGGACAUAGUGGAUACAAUGCAUGUGAGCGUUGUACACAAACUGGGAUCUACGAUACUGGUAGAAUGACAUUUCCGGAAUGCGACGCUCCUCAGAGAACCCACGACUCUUUUAUUGCCAUGAGUGAUGCUGAUCAUCACCGGCUCCAGUCUCCUUUGAUAGCUUUAGUCCCAAACAUGGUUAGAGAUUUCACAUUGGAUUAUAUGCACAUGUGCUGUCUAGGGGUGACAAAACUGAUGAUUCGCCUCUGGAUGUCAGGACCUUUGACAGUUCGUUUGCCGGCCUCAGUUGCAGAGAGGAUUUCGGGUCGGUUGUCUGCGCUCGGUUCUAGCUUUCCUAAGGAAUUUGCUAGAAAGCCCAGAAGCCUCUACGACUAUAGAAUGUGGAAGGCGACGGAGUUUAGAACAUUCAUGUUGUAUACAGGACCUGUUGUUUUGAAGGGGCUAUUGUCGGAUGACAUGUACAACUUGUUUCUUUGUUUUUCAAGCGCAAUGACGGUUUUGUUAUGUCCUGACUUUGCAUAUCGCUAUUCGGCCUUUGCAAAAGGCCUGAUGUGCACAUUUGUGAAGAACUUUGCAAAGCUUUUCGGAAGCCAAUUCGUAGUGUACAAUGUGCAUAGUCUGAUACACUUGAGCGAAGA
This 1551-nucleotide unclassified non-coding RNA is filed under the name Amphibalanus amphitrite. Its description in RNAcentral is "uncharacterized LOC122392502, transcript variant X2". The record is from RNAcentral. Lineage: Eukaryota; Metazoa; Arthropoda; Thecostraca; Balanomorpha; Balanidae.